RNAcentral lists this ribosomal RNA (991 nucleotides) under human gut metagenome. RNAcentral's name for it is "bacterial LSU rRNA". It matches the Rfam family "Bacterial large subunit ribosomal RNA", at positions 1934 to 2925 of the family's 2925-position model. The record is from RNAcentral.
CCGUAACUAUAACGGUCCUAAGGUAGCGAAAUUCCUUGUCGGGUAAGUUCCGACCCGCACGAAAGGCGUAAUGAUUUGAGCGCUGUCUCGACAAUGCAUCCGGUGAAAUUGAAGUACCAGUGAAGAUGCUGGUUACCUGCGCCAGGACGGAAAGACCCCAUGGAGCUUUACUCCAGUUUGGUACUGGGAUCCGGUACUGCAUGUACAGGAUAGGUGGGAGGCUAUGAAAUGGUAACGCCAGUUGCCAUGGAGCCGCUGUUGGGAUACCACCCUUGCAGUACUGGGUUUCUAACCAGCAGCCGUGACCCGGCUGGGGGACAAUGUCAGGUGGGGAGUUUGACUGGGGCGGUCGCCUCCGAAAGGGUAUCGGAGGCGCUCAAAGGUUCCCUCAGAAUGGUUGGAAACCAUUCGAAGAGUGCAAAGGCAGAAGGGAGCUUGACUGCGACACCGACGGGUGGAGCAGGUACGAAAGUAGGACUUAGUGAUCCGGUGGUAUAAAGUGGGAUUGCCAUCGCUCAACGGAUAAAAGCUACCCUGGGGAUAACAGGCUUAUCACUCCCAAGAGUUCACAUCGACGGAGUGGUUUGGCACCUCGAUGUCGGCUCAUCGCAUCCUGGGGCUGUAGUAGGUCCCAAGGGUUGGGCUGUUCGCCCAUUAAAGCGGUACGCGAGCUGGGUUCAGAACGUCGUGAGACAGUUCGGUCCCUAUCUGUCGUGGGCGCAGGAAAUUUGAGAAGAGCUGUCCUCAGUACGAGAGGACCGGGAUGGACGCAUCAAUGGUGGACCAGUUGUCACGCCAGUGGCAUAGCUGGGUAGCUAAAUGCGGAAGGGAUAAACGCUGAAGGCAUCUAAGUGUGAAACCCACUUCAAGAUGAGAUUUCCCAUUGCGCAAGCAAGUAAGACCCCUUAAAGACGAUAAGGUAGAUAGGUCAGGAGUGUAAGCAUGGUGACAUGUUAAGCGGACUGAUACUAAUAGGUCGAGGGCUUGACCG